AUUUGGUAAGUGCAAUUAUCUUCAAAUUUGUUGUACUUAUUUUUAACUAAGAGAUUGAGAGGUGUAUAAAUUUUUAAGCAAGAUCAAUGGUUAAAUCAAUAGAUAUUGGAGUUCUAAUCUACCUUAGGAUUGGUUUGAGUUGGUUAGGGUUUGGUUUAUGGUUUAGGAUUUGUCUAGGAUUUGGUUUAGGAUUUAAGAUUCUUUUAGGAUUUGAUUUAGAAUUUAAGGUUUUUUUAGGGCUUAGGAUUUGUCUAAGAUUUGGUUUAGGAUUUAGGAUUUAAGGUUUGUCUAGGAUUUGGUUUAAGACUCAUGAUUUAAUUAGGAUUUGACCAAGGAUUUAGUUAAAGUCUAUUAAGGUUUCAAUUAGGAUUAAAGUAAGAUUUGAUUAGGAUUUAUUUAAGAUUUAUUCAAAUUUUUUCUAAUAUUUAUAUAGGAUUUCUUUUGGAUUUUUUAAAGAUUUCUUUAAGAUGUACUUAUUACUUUUUUAUGAUUUUUUAAGAAUUUCUUUAGAAUUUCUUUAAGUUUUUUUCAUGUUUUUUUUGUAAUUUCUUAAAGAUUACUUUUGGAUUUGAUUAAAUCUUAA
This 583-nucleotide long non-coding RNA is filed under the name Physcomitrium patens. Its description in RNAcentral is "long non-coding RNA (PPAT_LNC008036)". The record is from RNAcentral. Lineage: Eukaryota; Viridiplantae; Streptophyta; Bryopsida; Funariales; Funariaceae.